UUAGGAAUAUUCGUCAAUGGAGGAAACUCUGAACGAGCAAUGCCGCGUGAAGGAUGACGGUCCUAUGGAUUGUAAACUUCUGUUGUUAGGGAAGAACGACUUAAGUAGGAAAUGACUUAAGAGUGACGGUACCUUUCAAGAAAGCUCCGGCUAACUACGUGCCAGCAGCCGCGGUAAUACGUAGGGAGCAAGCGUUAUCCGGAUUUAUUGGGUGUAAAGGGUACGUAGGCGGCCUCAUAAGUCUGUGGUUUAAGCCCGAAGCUUAACUUCGGUUCGCCACAGAAACUGUUUGGCUUGAGUAUGGUAGAGGCAAGUGGAAUUUCUAGUGUAGCGGUUAAAUGCGUAGAUAUUAGAAGGAACACCAGUGGCGAAGGCGACUUGCUGGGCCAUUACUGACGCUGAGGUACGAAAGCGUGGGGAGCAAAUAGG
This 429-nucleotide ribosomal RNA is filed under the name uncultured bacterium. Its description in RNAcentral is "bacterial SSU rRNA". It matches the Rfam family "Bacterial small subunit ribosomal RNA", at positions 355 to 776 of the family's 1533-position model. The record is from RNAcentral. RNAcentral also lists the same sequence under 1 other name.